RNAcentral lists this ribosomal RNA (262 nucleotides) under uncultured microorganism. RNAcentral's name for it is "partial 16S ribosomal RNA". It matches the Rfam family "Bacterial small subunit ribosomal RNA", at positions 9 to 300 of the family's 1533-position model. The record is from RNAcentral.
GAGUUUGAUCAUGGCUCAGAGCGAACGCUGGCGGCAGGCCUAACACAUGCAAGUCGAACGAACUCUUCGGAGUUAGUGGCGGACGGGUGAGUAACACGUGGGAACGUGCCUUUUGGUUCGGAAUAACUCAGGGAAACUUGUGCUAAUACCGAAUGUGCCCUUCGGGGAAAGAUUUAUCGCCAUUAGAGCGGCCCGCGUCUGAUUAGCUAGUUGGUGAGGUAAAGGCUCACCAAGGCGACGAUCAGUAGCUGGUCUGAGAGGA